GGAGGCGUAUCCGGCCUGGUGACCGGCGCGGUCCUCAACACCGUCGAGGCCGAGCAACUCGACCUGGCGGGUUCGAUUCCCGUCCGCCUCCGCCA
Molecule: transfer RNA, 95 nt
Filed under: Actinocatenispora thailandica
Lineage: Bacteria; Bacillati; Actinomycetota; Actinomycetes; Micromonosporales; Micromonosporaceae
Description: tRNA-SeC
Rfam family: Selenocysteine transfer RNA
Source: RNAcentral